This 490-nucleotide ribosomal RNA is filed under the name uncultured bacterium. RNAcentral's name for it is "partial 16S ribosomal RNA". It matches the Rfam family "Bacterial small subunit ribosomal RNA", at positions 30 to 507 of the family's 1533-position model. The record is from RNAcentral.
AUUGAACGCUGGCGGCAGGCCUAACACAUGCAAGUCGAACGGUAACAGGAAGCAGCUUGCUGCUUUGCUGACGAGUGGCGGACGGGUGAGUAAUGUCUGGGAAACUGCCUGAUGGAGGGGGAUAACUACUGGAAACGGUAGCUAAUACCGCAUAACGUCGCAAGACCAAAGAGGGGGACCUUCGGGCCUCAUGCCAUCGGAUGUGCCCAGAUGGGAUUAGCUAGUAGGUGGGGUAACGGCUCACCUAGGCGACGAUCCCUAGCUGGUCUGAGAGGAUGACCAGCCACACUGGAACUGAGACACGGUCCAGACUCCUACGGGAGGCAGCAGUGGGGAAUAUUGCACAAUGGGCGCAAGCCUGAUGCAGCCAUGCCGCGUGUAUGAAGAAGGCCUUCGGGUUGUAAAGUACUUUCAGCGGGGAGGAAGGGAGUAAAGUUAAUACCUUUGCUCAUUGACGUUACCCGCAGAAGAAGCACCGGCUAACUCCGUG